This is a long non-coding RNA of Camponotus floridanus (Florida carpenter ant), 568 nucleotides long. RefSeq lists it as uncharacterized. NCBI's taxonomy places the organism in Eukaryota, Metazoa, Arthropoda, Insecta, Hymenoptera, Formicidae. The transcript has 4 exons. The record is from RefSeq and is a predicted model, not a curated record.
ACAAGCAAACACGUACUACAUACGUAUCAGUUCUGUUCCGUCAUCGCUGGUAUCAACAUAUUCUAAAUCAUAGCAGUAGAGAGAGUGCAGGAAAUCUCGUAGGAAAAUUUGUCUCCAAAAUUGGAAAACAUCACUAUUGAAAUUAAUUCAAGACCAUCUAUAAAAUCAUAUUUCUAGAAAUAUUUUGCAGCUAGUCUCAUAACAGACUUUACUAAUAUAACAAGAACAAAAAAGCUAUCAUAUAUAGUUGUCACAAUGCGCAUAACAGCGUUAUUUAUGAUCAUUAUCACCAUUAUCGGUACAUUAAUAAUGUGUUCUAAAGGCAUAUUAUCCAUGGAAAAUACAUACUAUUCAUCAAGUACUUUUACAAAUGUAUCUGCAGCUUUUGUAACCUAUCUAGAGUUCAAACAUACACCUAAUGAAACAUUUCCGAAACCAAUAAGCGAGGCAGAUUUAUUUACAUUAUUGUCCUUACUUCUUCAAGACGUUCCUCAAAACGACAAAAAUUUCAGAUUAACGAAACAGAAUAUGUAUUUAGAUUAUCUUUUGGGAAUUGUAUAUAAAGUAG